Aplysia californica (California sea hare) is the source of this 1401-nucleotide long non-coding RNA. RefSeq lists it as uncharacterized. The record is from RefSeq and is a predicted model, not a curated record. The transcript has 2 exons. NCBI's taxonomy places the organism in Eukaryota, Metazoa, Mollusca, Gastropoda, Aplysiida, Aplysiidae.
GGCAACUUAACAGAAUCUGAUAUCGAUUGGAAGCAAAAGCAAACCUUGUGAUUAUAGUUUUUGUUCCAGCUGGUGUAGUUUCACUUCAUUACGUGCAGUAUUACUAUAGGGAACUCGAUAUCAACGUGCACAGCGAAAUGAAUCAUCUAAAUACGAGCGUGUGAUGUGUGGUCGAUUAAGUGCACACCCCAUACUCCUUUCUCACAAAAGCACCGACCUCUUGAAUCAGCGUUGCUGUCGCAGACUGCAUGCAAUGCAGAACGAGACUUAACAAAAGGUUUAUUAAACUUUGAGAGGUUGGCAAGCUGGAUUUGAAGCUGAGCGUACCAUACUUCAGCUAAUGUGGUUUCUCGACUCGAUCAGAUGUAACAAUGAGUGCCAGUGAUAUCAACUCGAAAACAUGUUCCAGGAGACAAGAAACAGGUUGGUAAACAGGACGUCAGCUCACGACAAUGAAUUUGACACUGGGUUCAUGAACUGUAAAUUCCAAGCUCAGUUCAAACAAAAUCUGUGGUUAUUUUUCUUCAAGACGUUUAAUGACUCUCUGGUACUGGCUAAACAGGGCAAAAGAUCAAGGGGAAGACCCCGUGGAACCUGGAGAUGAAUCACAGAAAGUGAUGUACAGAAAAGUGGGAAGACAUGGAAUAACAUCAAGAGGCUAAACCAGGAUGGAGAAAGGUGGAAAGUGUUUGUUCGUGGCCUCUACCCUGGUGCAGGAUGAGAAAAGCAAUAAUGAUGCUGGUACUGGCUAAAUCCAGGAGUAAAGGUGCUGCCUCAGAAAAAGUCAAACUGCAUUGAGAACGAGUUUUGAAGUUCUUAGAACAAACAAACAAGAAUAUCAAAAGGGCACAACAAAAAGAGAGAUGAUGACCCGCACAAUACGUCUCCUUUCAACCCACCGACGCCCGUGGUUUAGCGGUUAGGCACUUCCCUGUCACAUGCAGAGGACCUGAGUUUGGUUCCCUCCUGGGGAGAAAUUUCACUGAGUACCUGUCUUUCUUCAAGGACGUUGUAUCCCUCUCAGCCCGGGUUGGGCCUGGCAAGACUGGCUCGAAAUGAUCUGAAUUGUGUCGAUGGGGUAGUAAAACACUUACAUUAUCAACAACAACAACAACAACAACAACAACAACAACAACAACAACAACAAUAGCAACAACAACAACAACAUCAAGAAACUUUCAACCAACAAGAAACGAGCUUUAACGUGAACGUUUCCGUAAUGUACGAACUGUUGUGACGAACCUCUGCACAUGCAUGCACAAACAUUAUUCAAAUGUAUAUUCGCCUAGCCUUUCCUGUUUCUGCUUGCCAUCUCCUGGUCUCAAUCCGUGUCUAUUUCACGCAUCAAUUGUUAAUACAUUUUAUAGAUAUUAAAGCUAUUCCUUCUUGCUUUUCCACAUU